Molecule: non-coding RNA, 88 nt
Filed under: Pseudomonas mohnii
Lineage: Bacteria; Pseudomonadati; Pseudomonadota; Gammaproteobacteria; Pseudomonadales; Pseudomonadaceae
Source: RNAcentral
AAUUAUGGCGGCUGUGCGCGGGGCACUUUCGGGUGCGCCGGGUUCCUAGAUCUCCGGUCUUCCACACCUACGCACAGCUGCCACCCAU